This 170-nucleotide non-coding RNA is filed under the name Parabacteroides bouchesdurhonensis. The record is from RNAcentral. Lineage: Bacteria; Pseudomonadati; Bacteroidota; Bacteroidia; Bacteroidales; Tannerellaceae.
UACCCAUUCGAGGAUACGGAUUAAAAGGGAAUCGGGUGUAAAUCCCGGACAGUCCCGCUGCUGUGAAACCCCGUUUCAACAUCUCUAAACUACUUUUGCCACUGGCUUGUUAUAAAACAGCCGGGAAGGCUUCGAGAUGGGAGUAAGUCAGAAGACCUGCCAUUCAUUAA